RNAcentral lists this ribosomal RNA (462 nucleotides) under uncultured bacterium. RNAcentral describes it as "bacterial SSU rRNA". It matches the Rfam family "Bacterial small subunit ribosomal RNA", at positions 28 to 507 of the family's 1533-position model. The record is from RNAcentral.
GAUGAACGUUGGCGGUGUGCCUAAUACAUGCAAGUCGAACGGAGAUUGUAGCAAUACGGUCUUAGUGGCGAACGGGUGAGUAACGCGUUGGUAACCUGCCCCGAAGCGUGGGAUAACGGUCCGAAAGGACCACUAAUACCACAUGUGAUCCCGAGGAAUAGAUACUUGGGAUGAAAGGAGCAAUUCGCUUCGGGAGGGACCUGCGUCCCAUCAGCUAGUUGGUAGGGUAACGGCCUACCAAGGCGAUGACGGGUAGGGGACCUGAGAGGGUGGCCCCCCACAAUGGAACUGAAACACGGUCCAUACACCUACGGGUGGCAGCAGUAGGGAAUAUUGGUUAAUGUGCGAAAGCGCGAACCAGCAACGCCGCGUGUGCGAUGAAGGCCUUCGGGUCGUAAAGCUACUUUUUGCAGGGAAGCGAAAGUGACGGUACCUGCAGAAAAAGCACCGGCUAACUACGUG